GCGCACUGUGCUGCUCCGCCGCCAAAGCUCGCGCGGGGGAAGCGGGGCUGUAGCUGGGCAGGGAGAGGGCGGACGAAAUCGGUAGCGAUCUCGGCUGCGGCGCUGCCGCAGCUGCCCGGCCCGCGGGGCGCGCCCUGACCCUUCAUCUUUGGGCAGGCUCGAGGGCGCGCGCACGGUUGGCGUUCUGGGGCCUCAAACUCCUGGGCCUUGACCGGGCAGGCCGCGUCUCCCCGGGUGUGAGUCCACCGGGACCCGGCCGCCGCCUAAGCGCGGGCGCCACAGAAGCGGCGGCGCCCGAAGACGCGCUCCUGGCUCGGCCCGACAGCCUCGCUUGGCCGCCAGUUCUUCUGCAGCCGAAGGCGGUUGUUCUUUUAAAGAAUUAUUGAAGACGAAGGUUUUUUUCUUUUUAUUUUUUUAAUGGCUUUACAGAAUCUUAAAUAGAAUACAGUUUGACAUGACGGCAAAAAAUGUUGGUUUGACUUCCACAAAUGCAGAAGUAAGAGGAUUUAUAGAUCAGAAUCUCAGUCCAACAAAAGGUAAGGAUUAUUGAAUAAAAUUUUUCUGAA
RNAcentral lists this long non-coding RNA (566 nucleotides) under Homo sapiens (human). Its description in RNAcentral is "non-protein coding lnc-TFDP2-1:2". Lineage: Eukaryota; Metazoa; Chordata; Mammalia; Primates; Hominidae. The record is from RNAcentral.